This 443-nucleotide ribosomal RNA is filed under the name uncultured bacterium. RNAcentral describes it as "partial 16S ribosomal RNA". It matches the Rfam family "Bacterial small subunit ribosomal RNA", at positions 338 to 795 of the family's 1533-position model. The record is from RNAcentral.
CCUACGGGAGGCAGCAGUGGGGAAUAUUGGGCAAUGGGCGCAAGCCUGACCCAGCAACGCCGCGUGAAGGAAGAAGGCUUUCGGGUUGUAAACUUCUUUUAUCAGGGACGAAGCAAGUGACGGUACCUGAUGAAUAAGCCACGUCUAACUACGUGCCAGCAGCCGCGGGAAUACGUAGGUGGCAAGCGUUAUCCGGAUUUACUGGGUGUAAGGGGCGUGUAGGCGGGAGUGCAAGUCAGAUGUGAAAACUAUGGGCUCAACCCAUAGCCUGCAUUUGACACUGUACUUCUUGAGUGCUGGAGAGGUAAUCGGAAUUCGGGGUGUAGCGGUGAAAUGCGUAGAUAUACGGAGGAACACCAGUGGCGAAGGCGGAUUGCUGGACAGUAACUGACGCUGAGGCGCGAAAGCGUGGGGAGCAAACAGGAUUAGAUACCCCUGUAGUC